CCCAUACCCUAUAGCAGUCACUCCCAAUUCUCUUCUUCCACCCAUUCCCUGGCAACCACUAAUCUACUUUCCAUCUCUAUGGAUUUAACUAUUCAGGACAUUUUAUAUGAUGAAUCAAUUUGGAGAGGAACUCUCAACACUUCCAAGGACACUACCUUGUCAGGAUGCUCCCAGAACUGAUAAACAAAAUAAAAGAAGUAAAGAUCAAAAGAAAGAGAGAGAAAAGGAAGGAAGGGAGGAAGGAAGGAAGGAGGAGGGAAGGAAGGAAGGAAGGAAGGAAGGAAGGAAAGAAACUGUGGAAAAACUCACAAUCCAGACAAGACAUCUGCUCAAUUUUGGAUUGUAUCAUUCCAGAACUAUCCACAACAUACUUAACUAGCUUCUAAUUUUUAAAGUAAAACCUUUCCAGUGUUUUGCUAUUUAAAA
Long non-coding RNA from Cebus imitator (Panamanian white-faced capuchin), 426 nucleotides. RefSeq lists it as uncharacterized. The record is from RefSeq and is a predicted model, not a curated record. NCBI's taxonomy places the organism in Eukaryota, Metazoa, Chordata, Mammalia, Primates, Cebidae. The transcript is spliced from 3 exons.